GUACAUCUGGAGAGUCCCAGACUAGGACGAAACAGCUGUCCAGUAC
Non-coding RNA from Trichobilharzia regenti, 46 nucleotides. NCBI's taxonomy places the organism in Eukaryota, Metazoa, Platyhelminthes, Trematoda, Strigeidida, Schistosomatidae. The record is from Rfam.